UAAGGAAUAUUGGACAAUGGAGGCAACUCUGAUCCAGCCAUGCCGCGUGAAGGAUGAAGGUGCUAUGCAUUGUAAACUUCUUUUGAACGGGAGAAAACCCUAGGUCGUGCACCGGGGCUGAUAGUACCGUUAGAAUAAGGGUCGGCUAACUUCGUGCCAGCAGCCGCGGUAAUACGAAGGACCCGAGCGUUAUCCGGAUUUAUUGGGUUUAAAGGGUGCGUAGGCGGAAUAGUAAGUCAGUGGUGAAAGCCUGUUGCUUAACAACAGAACUGCCAUUGAUACUACUAAUCUUGAGUACAUAUGAUGUGGGCGGAAUGUGCCAUGUAGCGGUGAAAUGCUUAGAUAUGGCACAGAACACCGAUUGCGAAGGCAGCUCACAAAACUGUUACUGACGCUGAGGCACGAAAGCGUGGGGAUCAAACAGGAUUAGAUACCCGGGUAGUCC
This 445-nucleotide ribosomal RNA is filed under the name uncultured bacterium. RNAcentral's name for it is "bacterial SSU rRNA". It matches the Rfam family "Bacterial small subunit ribosomal RNA", at positions 355 to 796 of the family's 1533-position model. The record is from RNAcentral.